RNAcentral lists this ribosomal RNA (464 nucleotides) under uncultured Klebsiella sp. RNAcentral describes it as "bacterial SSU rRNA". It matches the Rfam family "Bacterial small subunit ribosomal RNA", at positions 338 to 795 of the family's 1533-position model. The record is from RNAcentral. Lineage: Bacteria; Pseudomonadati; Pseudomonadota; Gammaproteobacteria; Enterobacterales; Enterobacteriaceae.
CCUACGGGAGGCUGCAGUGGGGAAUAUUGCACAAUGGGCGCAAGCCUGAUGCAGCCAUGCCGCGUGUGUGAAGAAGGCCUUCGGGUUGUAAAGCACUUUCAGCGGGGAGGAAGGUGGUGAGGUUAAUAACCUCAUCGAUUGACGUUACCCGCAGAAGAAGCACCGGCUAACUCCGUGCCAGCAGCCGCGGUAAUACGGAGGGUGCAAGCGUUAAUCGGAAUUACUGGGCGUAAAGCGCACGCAGGCGGUCUGUCAGGUCGGAUGUGAAAUCCCCGGGCUCAACCUGGGAACUGCAUUCGAAACGGGCAGGCUAGAGUCUUGUAGAGGGGGGUAGAAUUCCAGGUGUGGCGGUGAAAUGCGUAGAGAUCUGGAGGAAUACCGGUGGCGAAGGCGGCCCCUGGACAAAGACUGACGCUCAGGUGCGAAAGCGUGGGGAGCAAACAGGAUUAGAUACCCCUGUAGUC